UCCUACGGGAGGCAGCAGUGGGGAAUCUUGCGCAAUGGACGAAAGUCUGACGCAGCGACGCCGCGUGGGUGAUGAAGGCCUUCGGGUUGUAAAGCCCUGCGGGGAGAGACGAAUAAGUGCGGGCUAAUACUCCGCAUGAUGACGGUAUCUCCUUAGCAAGCACCGGCUAACUCUGUGCCAGCAGCCGCGGUAAGACAGAGGGUGCAAACGUUGUUCGGAAUUACUGGGCGUAAAGCGUGUGUAGGCGGCUAUGUAAGUCGGAUGUGAAAGCCCUGGGCUCAACCCAGGAAGUGCACUCGAUACUGCGUAGCUUGAGUCUCGGAGAGGUUGGUGGAAUUCUCGGUGUAGAGGUGAAAUUCGUAGAUAUCGAGAGGAACACCGGUGGCGAAGGCGGCCAACUGGACGAAGACUGACGCUGAGACACGAAAGCGUGGGGAGCAAACAGGAUUAGAUACCCUGGUAGUCCACGCCGUAAACGAUGGGUGCUAGGUGUCACGGGCAUUGACUCCCGUGGUGCCGUAGCAAACGCAUUAAGCACCCCGCCUGGGAAGUACGGCCGCAAGGCUAAAACUCAAAGGAAUUGACGG
Molecule: ribosomal RNA, 587 nt
Filed under: uncultured bacterium
Lineage: Bacteria
Description: bacterial SSU rRNA
Rfam family: Bacterial small subunit ribosomal RNA
Source: RNAcentral